Molecule: ribosomal RNA, 219 nt
Filed under: uncultured bacterium
Lineage: Bacteria
Description: partial 16S ribosomal RNA
Rfam family: Bacterial small subunit ribosomal RNA
Source: RNAcentral
CGUAAAGAACUUGCCUCACAGCUAGGGACAACAUUUAGAAAUGAAUGCUAAUACCUAAUAUUAUGAUAAUAGGGCAUCCUAUAAUUAUGAAGGCUAUAUGCGCUGUGAGAGAGCUUUGCGUCCCAUUAGCUAGUUGGAGAGGUAACGGCUCACCAAGGCGAUGAUGGGUAGCCGGCCUGAGAGGGUGAUCGGCCACAAGGGGACUGAGACACGGCCCUU